RNAcentral lists this ribosomal RNA (492 nucleotides) under uncultured bacterium. RNAcentral describes it as "partial 16S ribosomal RNA". It matches the Rfam family "Bacterial small subunit ribosomal RNA", at positions 29 to 507 of the family's 1533-position model. The record is from RNAcentral.
AGUGAACGCUGGCGGCAGGCCUAACACAUGCAAGUCGAACGGCAGCACAGUAAGCGCUUGCCCUUACGGGUGGCGACUGGCGGAUGAGUGACGCAUACAUCGGCUUCUUCUUUUACGUGGGGGACAUCGUAGGGCAGCUUCUACUACUACCGCAUAUUUUCUACGGCUGAAUUCAGAAGAGCUUCGCACCUUUCCCGUCUCAAUGAGCUGAUGCCGCAUUAGCUAGUUGGCUGGGUAAAGGCCCACCAAGGCAACGAUCCGUAGCUGGUCUGAGAGGAUGAUCGGCCACACUGGAACUGAGACACGGUCCAGACUCCUACGGGAGGCAGCAGUGGGGAAUCUUGGACAAUGGGCGAAAGCCUGAUCCAGCCAUACCGCGUGGGUGAAGAAGGCCUUCGGGUUGUAAAGCCCUUUUGUUGGGAAAGAAAAGCAGCAGGUUAAUACCCCGCUGUUCUGACGGUACCCAAAGAAUAAGCACCGGCUAACUUCGUG